GAUAUAGGCAGGGAAAAAGUUAUCAAAGAAUGCAUCCAUGAAAACUUCCCAGGUGGUAGGGGUAGAUAGGACUUUUUUUUUAAAUCACCACCAGUGUUCAACUUCACCAUUUAGCAUAAAGGCUGCUAGAGGAACCUUCUGUUCCUCAAUCAGGUCUAGGAUAGAGAAAAGCUUCUCUCUUUGUAGGAUCCAGGCUUCGGCUACUAAGGGGUCAAGGCAACCUUCGAAAUGUGGCGAGUUAAGCUUCUAAACUCCACUAUGUUGUA
This 266-nucleotide long non-coding RNA is filed under the name Carica papaya (papaya). Its description in RNAcentral is "long non-coding RNA (CPAP_LNC016425)". Lineage: Eukaryota; Viridiplantae; Streptophyta; Magnoliopsida; Brassicales; Caricaceae. The record is from RNAcentral.